GGGUCUUGUCAUCUUGGUCCAAUCUUUGUUGUGGCUGACUGAGUACUUGGGAGUUUUUCUUGGUCUGCCCUCUCUUAGGUUCCCUCAGCACUGGAGCAGGCUGUGUUUGAGGAUUCCAAGGAGCUCAUAGGCGAAAGAGAGGAAGAGCAAGGCAUUGUGGUGUUCUGCGAGGGCAUAACUGAUGCCACACCCUCCCUGAGGGAUGGACACAGAAGGUAAACAGACACCCUCAUCUCAAGAGCCAUCGUGAACUCAACUGGUUGCUGGAAAAGGCUAUUGAGGCAAAAGAAGACACAGACAGGAAAUACUCAUUGGGAAGCGAGUGUGCCCCCACUGCUCUGCACCCCCAUAUCAGGAUUAGAUGGGGUAGAGGUUAAGGAUGUGCACCUGGGGUUGGGCUUCCUGGACAUGAAUCCUAUGUACCAACGGAAUGGCUGUGGCAAGAUAAUUCACAUUCUAAAAUUAUAAGUCCUAAGACCAGGAAGUCUCCUCCUUAGUGCUAAUAUAAUGAUAGCCAUAAUAAUAAUAAUAAUAAUAAUAAUAAUAAUAAUAACAAUAAAAUAUUUGACAGCAGGCAAAUAAAAUUCAUAUUAUAGCUAUUACUUCAAAAGUAUGUGGAUGAGGCCAAAUCAUAGAUUUUUUUUUUUCAGCUUUCUCUCCUCAGGUAAGCUGAAAAGUUUAGCUGAGAUACCACACUGAAUCUGUUUAGCUGAGUUCCUGACACCUUGUUAGUUCUAUGUCUAAAAUGAGGCUGAUUUGGUGACUCAGUGGCUGGGCACUUGCCUGGCACCUGGGAGGCCCGGACUCCAUUCUCAGAUCUAAAAAACAAAUUAAAAUAUUGUCUCUGUGUUCUCUCUGAAUGCAGGAAUGAAGGCGUGUUUAAUUCUAAGCUGUUAUACAUGGCAGAUAUUCAGCAAGAAGGGAGAAAAAGCAAAGAGGAGCAGUUAGUCAGGGGUGACGCAAACCGGGCCAGCCUGAGGACCACCUGACACCGUGAACUCCUUGCUAUACUGUAUCUAGAAAGAUGCACCUGUGUGCUGUGAGAUCCUGUCAGAAAACUGUAACCUGGGAAGUGGGUGAGGGUGACUACGGGGCCCUCUAGAGAACACCUGUCUGCAGGGAUUGGCCAGUGAAGACAAAAGGAAAGACCUAAGAAGAGCCAUGGACCAGAGAAGACUACAGAGACAUGACACCUGACAUAACGUGUAAAGCUGGGCCAGCUGACUGGACCCGGGACUGUGAAAAAUGGGCCGGCCAGAUUAGUUGGACAAUGGGAAAAAUUAGAACAUGGUGUGCAGUCUAGGUCAUGUUUGUAUAUUGCUUUUGUUUUAAUCGGAGCACUGCCUUAUGGUUACUAAAGUGAGUGUCUCCAGUCUUACAAAACUUAUUGACACAGUGUACUUGGAUUUAUGUC
Molecule: long non-coding RNA, 1414 nt
Organism: Myodes glareolus (Bank vole)
Lineage: Eukaryota; Metazoa; Chordata; Mammalia; Rodentia; Cricetidae
Source: RefSeq, a predicted model, not a curated record